This is a long non-coding RNA of Ricinus communis (castor bean), 1125 nucleotides long. RefSeq lists it as uncharacterized. The record is from RefSeq and is a predicted model, not a curated record. The transcript is spliced from 2 exons. Lineage: Eukaryota; Viridiplantae; Streptophyta; Magnoliopsida; Malpighiales; Euphorbiaceae.
UCUCACACCUUGAACACAAGUUAUCCCUUAUCUACUCCUGUCCUUCAAAGAUCCACUAGAACCAUAUCUACUCCUUCUUGGUUAAAGGACCAUCACCUUUCUCUACCUUCUACACAGGCCACCCCUCAUAGUCUUGCUUCUAUUCUUUCUUAUUCCCAUUUACAGCCCCAUCACAAAGCUUUCUUUGUUGCAAUAAUUGAACUUACAGAAUCCAUGAGUUAAAAUGAUGCUAUCAAACAUGAAUGCUGAAAAACGACAAUGCAGGCAGAAAUUGAUGCAUUACAAAUGAAUCAUACUUGGGAGUUAGUUUAUUUGUUCGCCUGGUAGCUAAAGGUUGUACUCAAUAAUCAGGCAUUGAUUACAUUGACACCUUCUCGCCGGUAGCCAAGAUGACUACUAUUCAACAAUUACUAGCUUUGGCUGUUAUUAACAAUUCGCAUCUUCAUCAGUUGAACAUUAUCAACACUUUUCUUCAUGGUAAUCUUCAAGAAGAGGUAUCAAGACUGCCCACUCGGAUUCUUCCUUGUUUAUUAAGUCUACUGGCUCACAUUUUAUUGCUCUUCUCAUUUACGUGGAUGAUGUUAUUCUCCUAAGCAAUAAUAUGUCUUGAAAUUGAUGCCGUGAAAAGGUUUCUUGAUGAUUCUUUUAGAAUCAAAAAUCUCGGCCCUUUGAAGUUCUUCCUUGGCCUUAAGGUUGCUCACUCAUCUAAGGGUAUUAACCUUUGUCAAUGUAAGUAUGCUCUAGAUAUUUUUAGUGAUACUGGUUUUUUAGGCUCUAAGCCUGCCUCUUCUCCAAUGGCCUUCUUGAAGACUCCACUAUGUAUAGGCAUUUGGUUGGUCAUCUUUUAUAUCUCACCACCACUAGGCCCAAUAUUGCAUAUGUUGUCCAACAGUUGUCUCAGUAUCUUGAUAAGCCAACUCAGGAUCAUCUCUUUGCUGCUCACGGUGUUCUAAGAUAUAUUAAAGAUGCUCUUGGAUAAGGUUUAUUUUUCUCUUCUUCUUCUGCUGUUCAGCUCAAUGCUUUCUCCGAUUCUGAGUGGGUGACUUGUCCUAAUACUCGCAAGUCAAUCACUGGUUUCUGUGUGUUUAUGUUGGCAUGGAGCAGAAGUUUUUUUUUUCUUGUUCU